RNAcentral lists this ribosomal RNA (494 nucleotides) under uncultured bacterium. Its description in RNAcentral is "bacterial SSU rRNA". It matches the Rfam family "Bacterial small subunit ribosomal RNA", at positions 28 to 480 of the family's 1533-position model. The record is from RNAcentral.
GACGAACGCUGGCGGCGUGCCUAAUACAUGCAAGUCGAACGCACUCUCGUUUAGAUUGAAGGAGCUUGCUCCUGAUUGAUAAACAUUUGAGUGAGUGGCGGACGGGUGAGUAACACGUGGGUAACCUGCCCUAAAGUGGGGGAUAACAUUUGGAAACAGAUGCUAAUACCGCAUAAAACCUAACACCGCAUGGUGUAGGGUUGAAAGAUGGUUUCGGCUAUCACUUUAGGAUGGACCCGCGGUGCAUUAGUUAGUUGGUGAGGUAAAGGCUCACCAAGACCGUGAUGCAUAGCCGACCUGAGAGGGUAAUCGGCCACACUGGGACUGAGACACGGCCCAGACUCCUACGGGAGGCAGCAGUAGGGAAUCUUCCACAAUGGACGAAAGUCUGAUGGAGCAACGCCGCGUGAGUGAAGAAGGUUUUCGGAUCGUAAAACUCUGUUAGUUGGAGAAGAAUGUAUCUGAUAGUAACUGAUCAGGUAGUGACGGUAUCC